This is a long non-coding RNA of Metopolophium dirhodum (rose-grain aphid), 1350 nucleotides long. RefSeq lists it as uncharacterized. The transcript has 2 exons. Lineage: Eukaryota; Metazoa; Arthropoda; Insecta; Hemiptera; Aphididae. The record is from RefSeq and is a predicted model, not a curated record.
UAUGUUAGUAUAAUAGUUAUCCUGCUGCAUGGUAAUAUAUUAUAUAUAUAUAUUAUACAUAGUGCCGGUCGGUGGUUAUUAUAAAUGAACCAUCGCUCCGUCUCAACGAUUUUGUUCACCGAGUGCUGCUGAAGCUGUCUUCAAAAAAAAAAAAAAUCGAUAAGUCGUCGAGGGAAAAAUCGAUUUUUUAAACAUGAUUAAUUUACUAUCGCUAUGUUUGUGGUUGACUACUGCGGUGUUGGUCGUUACUGGUCAAUAUUACAUAAACCCGCAAGUGCAAGUUCCAAUCAAACCGUAUCCGUAUGCUUAUCAAUAUUAUAAAGCACCCGCUCCAGCCGAAAUUGUGAUUCCGCCGACUACACGAUACCUGACCGGUUACGAUGUCUUGCACUCUUAUGAACCUGUCGAAAAACAUGGUUACAAGUAUUCGUACUGAAGCGUUAAAAUUAAAAUAUACAUAGCAUACAUUACAUAUUAUGCAAUAUUUUAGUAUCUACCGCUUGAAUACACUUACUUAACCUAAAAAAAAAUGUAUAAGUUAUAUUAAAUUACGCGUGGAAUAUAUUAUUUCCGGUGUUAAUAUAUUAUAUUACGAUUAAUUGAUCACUUGUAUGUUACAUAAUAUUACGGAGGAAAUAAAAAAACGUAUGACCGCCAAUAAAGACGAUAUUACGAUAGUACAGUUUACUUGUAAUAUCUGUCAGUGCUUAUUCUCUAGUAAUGAUGUACAUACUACACAGAAGGUACCUCUGUAAGAUGACAGAAAUAUUUUUAUUUUAAUGCCCAAAAUGUUAAUAAUUUGACCUACGGGAAUAAAAUAUUAAAAUAUGCUCUAAACAUUUUGUUUUAGUUUUAUGACGAAAAUGUGUCCGAUAUACUCAUAGUUUAAUAUAGUAAAAAUGUUUAUAGUGAUACCUAAUGAUGAUAACUUUUACCUUUACGUUUAUAAUAUUAUUUUGCAAACAAUAAAUUUUUUAUUGUAUUUAUUGAAAUAUUUAUUUUUAUAAAAUAGUGUAUGCUGUAGUUUGUAUGUAAUAUAUUAUAUUAUAUUAGUUUAUGAAGAAGUGUAUCAAUAGUUUUAUAAUUAUUGUAAUUAUAAUUAUUAUUAACGUUCAUAUAAUAUCUCUAUUUAUUUAAAUUAUUGGAAUAUGCAAAAUGUAAAUUAAUAUUACAACGUUACAAGCUGUGUGCACCACGGUCAUUGGUCCGUUAAUAUAAGUCUUUAAUUUUUAUAUAAAAGUCAGCUAUAACAGUCUUAAGUCACUCACAAAUUGUCUAUUCGAGUUUAUCCGUGGUAACUAAAAACGGCGUAGCAUAUGGGCAAAUAUAGUUACAUAAAUGUUAUGCGAA